Molecule: long non-coding RNA, 1256 nt
Organism: Asparagus officinalis (garden asparagus)
Lineage: Eukaryota; Viridiplantae; Streptophyta; Magnoliopsida; Asparagales; Asparagaceae
Exons: 4
Source: RefSeq, a predicted model, not a curated record
CGACUUCUCUUCUUCUUUCCAACCGCAAAAAGAAAAAGGGGGGAAACGAACCAGAUCUCUGCCCUCUCUCUCUAUACAGAUCCCAUCUUUUCCUCCCAUCUCCGAUCGCGAAGCGAAGAGGGGAGAGCAACGAGACCUCAGAUCCCAGAUGCAAUCCAACUCAGAUCUCUGCAUCGAACCCUGGAGCGCCUCCCCUCCCACCUCGCCGACGCCCUCUUUCGCCGCCUCCGCCACCGCCACCUCCUCUACACAUCCCUCCUCAAGUUUUUCCAGUUUUGCGUUGAAGAGGUUGAUUUGAGUGGGGAGAGCAUCGUGGAUGCUGAGUGGAUGGCUUAAUUGGGGGGAUUUCAGAAUCUUCGAAUUUUGAAGCUUUCGAAUUGCAGGAGUUUGAAUAUUCGCGCCCCCACUUGUCAUCUGGGUUUUUGAGUCUUGAUGCUCUAGGGUGAAGAUAUUUGGUGUCGAUUGCUUCUGAAGAGAUUUUGAUGGGCGUAAGAAAUCAGUGGUGGUGAUAAUAUAGCAGAAAUUGUAGUGGCAAUAAUCUAACAUGGAAACAAAAUUUUCCCUCUUUUGGAUGGCGAUAUUGGCUUUCUUGCAACUCUCCUCUGCAACUCUUUCACCUUCUGGCAUUAACUAUGAAGGUCAGUAGAUCUUAAGCUUUAAGCUUUUCUGUUUUUAUCAUUGCUUUUUACAUUCUAUAACUGUGGGGAUUUACUAACUAUUUGGUUUACAUCCUGAUAAUUGUUUGAAUAACAGAAGAAUUCUUUCAUUGCAUUAGAAAUGAAAGACAUUGUAGCGUUCUUUUAUUUCUUAAGCAUAAUUUGAACAUUGUGGUCUUCCAAUCUUAGUUAUAUAUCAAAGUUUUUAUUUCUUACAUUGAAUAAAAUUUAAGCAUAAUUUGAACAUUGUGGUCGUUCAAUCUUAGUUAUAUAUCAAAGUUAUAAGAGAGUAAUAUAUGUAAUGUAUUUGGUUUAUGUUUCUUUACUAUUAGUAACUGCAAGCAUUGGAAGCACAUUCUCUUACUUUCUCUUAGACUCUUACUUUUGUUAUGGUUUGUUUAUUCUGAUAGCAAACUUAACCGUGAAAAAAAACAAUGACUAAAAUCCCCAUUUUACCAUCAAGAUAUCAUUGUUUGUAUGUACAAUAUAAGCUAUAUAUUGUUUACAAUUCUUAUAUCCUAUUCAGGGAUAACUAAAUAUAAUUUAUUGUGCAGCCGAGUAUAAGCCAAGCAAAGACAAUCACUUACAGCAAAACCUCCC